RNAcentral lists this ribosomal RNA (278 nucleotides) under uncultured Vannella. RNAcentral describes it as "partial Bacterial large subunit ribosomal RNA". It matches the Rfam family "Bacterial large subunit ribosomal RNA", at positions 242 to 519 of the family's 2925-position model. The record is from RNAcentral. Lineage: Eukaryota; Discosea; Flabellinia; Vannellidae.
AGUAGUGGCGAGCGAACGCGGAUUAGCCCAAACCAUAACUGUUACGGCAGUUGUGGGGUUGUAGGACUACGAUGUGGACUAUAUAAUUGAAUUAGAAUCAACUGGAAAGUUGAGCCGAAGAGGGUGAAAGCCCCGUAUAAGUAAGCUUAUAUUACCUAGUAGUAUCCUGAGUAGGGCGGAGCAGGUGAAACUCCGUUUGAAUCUGCCGGCACCAUCCGGUAAGGCUAAAUACUCCUGAGAGACCGAUAGUGAACUAGUACCGUGAGGGAAAGGUGAAA